RNAcentral lists this ribosomal RNA (442 nucleotides) under uncultured bacterium. RNAcentral's name for it is "bacterial SSU rRNA". It matches the Rfam family "Bacterial small subunit ribosomal RNA", at positions 339 to 797 of the family's 1533-position model. The record is from RNAcentral.
AUACGGGAGGCAGCAGUAGGGAAUAUUGCUUAAUGGGCGCAAGCCUGAAGCAGCAACGCCGCGUGUGCGAUGAAGGCCUUCGGGUUGUAAAGCACUUUUAGCAGGGAAAAGGAAGGAUGGUACCUGCUGAAUAAGCCUCGGCUAACUACGUGCCAGCAGCCGCGGUAAAACGUAGGAGGCGAGCGUUAUCCGGAUUUACUGGGUGUAAAGCGCGUGCAGGCGGUUUGUUAAGUGGGAUGUGAAAGCUCCUGGCUCAACUGGGAGAGGUCGUUCCAGACUGGCAGACUGGAGAGCAGCAAGGGAAGGUGGAAUUCCGGGUGUAGUGGUGAAAUGCGUAGAUAUCCGGAGGAACACCAGUGGCGAAGGCGGCCUUCUGGGCUGCAUCUGACGCUCAGACGCGAAAGCUAGGGGAGCAAACGGGAUUAGAUACCCGUGUAGUCCC